This 467-nucleotide ribosomal RNA is filed under the name uncultured bacterium. Its description in RNAcentral is "partial 16S ribosomal RNA". It matches the Rfam family "Bacterial small subunit ribosomal RNA", at positions 28 to 507 of the family's 1533-position model. The record is from RNAcentral.
GAUGAACGCUGGCGGCGUGCUUAACACAUGCAAGUCGAACGGUGAAGCAGAGCUUUCUCUGUUGUUCAGUUGCGAACGGGUGAGUAACACGUGAGCAACCUGCCCCCGACUCUGGGAUAAGCGCUUUCAACGGCGUCUAAUACUUGAUAUGAGCUGCUUCCGCAUGGUCAGCACUUGGAAAGAUUUUUCUGUCUGUGAUAGGCUCACAGCCUAUCAGCUUGUUUGUGCGGUAAUGUCUCACCAAGGCGUCGACGGGUAGCCGGCCUGAGAGGGUGACCGGCGACACUGGGACUGAGAGACGGACCAGAAGCCUACGGGAGGCAGCAGUGGGGAAUAUUGCACAACGGGCGAAAGCCUGAUGCAGAAACGCCGCGUGAGGGAUGACGGCCUUCGGGGUGUAAACCUAUUUGAGCAGGGAAGAAGAGAAAGUGACGGUACCUGCAGAAAAAGCGACGGCUAACUACGUG